RNAcentral lists this ribosomal RNA (250 nucleotides) under uncultured bacterium. Its description in RNAcentral is "partial 16S ribosomal RNA". It matches the Rfam family "Bacterial small subunit ribosomal RNA", at positions 523 to 769 of the family's 1533-position model. The record is from RNAcentral.
AUACGGAAGGUGCAAGCGUUAAUCGGGAAUCACUGGGCGUAAAAGCGCUCGUAGGUGGCUUUGUAAGUCAGGUGUGAAAGCCCACGGCUCAACCGUGGAAUUGCACUUGAUACUGCAUUGCUUGAGUUUGGGAGAGGGUAGUGGAAUUCCAGGUGUAGGAGUGAAAUCCGUAGAGAUCUGGAGGAACACCAGUGGCGAAGGCGACUACCUGGACCGAUACUGACACUGAGGAGACGAAAGCGUGGGGAGC